Molecule: long non-coding RNA, 140 nt
Organism: Bactrocera neohumeralis
Lineage: Eukaryota; Metazoa; Arthropoda; Insecta; Diptera; Tephritidae
Exons: 2
Source: RefSeq, a predicted model, not a curated record
AAAGGAAAAAAUGCAUCUCAAGCCGCCAAAAAAAUUUGUGCAGUUUAUGGACCCGAUACAGUUUCCAUUUCCACCGCACAACGAUGGUUUCAACGUUUUCGCCUGUCGUCGAAAAUUGCGAUAAAAUCGCUGAAUUGGUC